This 1537-nucleotide ribosomal RNA is filed under the name Streptococcus salivarius 57.I. Its description in RNAcentral is "bacterial SSU rRNA". It matches the Rfam family "Bacterial small subunit ribosomal RNA". Lineage: Bacteria; Bacillati; Bacillota; Bacilli; Lactobacillales; Streptococcaceae. The record is from RNAcentral.
AGAGUUUGAUCCUGGCUCAGGACGAACGCUGGCGGCGUGCCUAAUACAUGCAAGUAGAACGCUGAAGAGAGGAGCUUGCUCUUCUUGGAUGAGUUGCGAACGGGUGAGUAACGCCGUAGGUAACCUGCCUUGUAGCGGGGGAUAACUAUUGGAAACGAUAGCUAAUACCGCAUAACAAUGGAUGACCCAUGUCAUUUAUUUGAAAGGGGCAAAUGCUCCACUACAAGAUGGACCUGCGUUGUAUUAGCUAGUAGGUGAGGUAACGGCUCACCUAGGCGACGAUACAUAGCCGACCUGAGAGGGUGAUCGGCCACACUGGGACUGAGACACGGCCCAGACUCCUACGGGAGGCAGCAGUAGGGAAUCUUCGGCAAUGGGGGCAACCCUGACCGAGCAACGCCGCGUGAGUGAAGAAGGUUUUCGGAUCGUAAAGCUCUGUUGUAAGUCAAGAACGAGUGUGAGAGUGGAAAGUUCACACUGUGACGGUAGCUUACCAGAAAGGGACGGCUAACUACGUGCCAGCAGCCGCGGUAAUACGUAGGUCCCGAGCGUUGUCCGGAUUUAUUGGGCGUAAAGCGAGCGCAGGCGGUUUGAUAAGUCUGAAGUUAAAGGCUGUGGCUCAACCAUAGUUCGCUUUGGAAACUGUCAAACUUGAGUGCAGAAGGGGAGAGUGGAAUUCCAUGUGUAGCGGUGAAAUGCGUAGAUAUAUGGAGGAACACCGGUGGCGAAAGCGGCUCUCUGGUCUGUAACUGACGCUGAGGCUCGAAAGCGUGGGGAGCGAACAGGAUUAGAUACCCUGGUAGUCCACGCCGUAAACGAUGAGUGCUAGGUGUUGGAUCCUUUCCGGGAUUCAGUGCCGCAGCUAACGCAUUAAGCACUCCGCCUGGGGAGUACGACCGCAAGGUUGAAACUCAAAGGAAUUGACGGGGGCCCGCACAAGCGGUGGAGCAUGUGGUUUAAUUCGAAGCAACGCGAAGAACCUUACCAGGUCUUGACAUCCCGAUGCUAUUUCUAGAGAUAGAAAGUUACUUCGGUACAUCGGUGACAGGUGGUGCAUGGUUGUCGUCAGCUCGUGUCGUGAGAUGUUGGGUUAAGUCCCGCAACGAGCGCAACCCCUAUUGUUAGUUGCCAUCAUUCAGUUGGGCACUCUAGCGAGACUGCCGGUAAUAAACCGGAGGAAGGUGGGGAUGACGUCAAAUCAUCAUGCCCCUUAUGACCUGGGCUACACACGUGCUACAAUGGUUGGUACAACGAGUUGCGAGUCGGUGACGGCAAGCUAAUCUCUUAAAGCCAAUCUCAGUUCGGAUUGUAGGCUGCAACUCGCCUACAUGAAGUCGGAAUCGCUAGUAAUCGCGGAUCAGCACGCCGCGGUGAAUACGUUCCCGGGCCUUGUACACACCGCCCGUCACACCACGAGAGUUUGUAACACCCGAAGUCGGUGAGGUAACCUUUUGGAGCCAGCCGCCUAAGGUGGGAUAGAUGAUUGGGGUGAAGUCGUAACAAGGUAGCCGUAUCGGAAGGUGCGGCUGGAUCACCU